This 253-nucleotide ribosomal RNA is filed under the name uncultured bacterium. RNAcentral describes it as "partial 16S ribosomal RNA". It matches the Rfam family "Bacterial small subunit ribosomal RNA", at positions 524 to 776 of the family's 1533-position model. The record is from RNAcentral.
UACGUAGGGUGCAAGCGUUGUCCGGAAUUAUUGGGCGUAAAGAGCUCGUAGGCGGCGAGUCACGUCGGAUGUGAAAUCCCAGGGCUCAACCCUGGGUCUGCAUUCGAUACGGGCUUGCUAGAGUGUGGUAGGGGAGACUGGAACUCCUGGUGUAGCGGUGAAAUGCGCAGAUAUCAGGAAGAACACCGGUGGCGAAGGCGGGUCUCUGGGCCAUUACUGACGCUGAGGAGCGAAAGCGUGGGGAGCGAACAGG